Cinara cedri is the source of this 281-nucleotide non-coding RNA. The record is from the annotation of a GenBank genome assembly. Lineage: Eukaryota; Metazoa; Arthropoda; Insecta; Hemiptera; Aphididae.
ACGGCGCGCCACCUAUAACGUUCCGGUUUGCCGUCGAUGAUAACGGUUAUCGUAUUGACAUGAUGUUGUUAUGGCCCGUCGAUCGUUUAUUUCUGCGUACUUGCGCGUUAUUUAUCACGCCCGCCGGAACUGACUGUUUGUACGCGUUCGGGUUAGGUGCGGUGAUUGCGUAGGCAUUGAGAAGAGAAAAGAAAAACCGAUACCCCGGGGACGGCGAAAAACAAUUCGGAGCGGACUUGGGUCGCGGACGUAUUCAACGAAAUCCAAAUACAUUAUUAAAA